Molecule: long non-coding RNA, 2577 nt
Filed under: Homo sapiens (human)
Lineage: Eukaryota; Metazoa; Chordata; Mammalia; Primates; Hominidae
Description: non-protein coding CHKB-DT:48
Source: RNAcentral
GAUUCUGGCUGGGGGCAGUGGGUCACGCUUUUAAUCCCUGCACUUUGGGAAGCCGAAGUAGGAGGAUCGUUUGAGCCCAGGAGUUUGAGACCAGCCUGGGCAACAUAGCAAGAACCUGUCUUUACAAAAAUUAAAAGAUUAGCUGGGCGUGGUGGCAGGUGCCUGUGGUUCCAGCUACUCUGGAUGCUGAGGUGAGAGAAUCACUUAAGCCCAGGAGGUCAAGGCUGCAGUGACCUGUGUUCACGCCACUGCACUCCAGCCUGAGCAACACAGCAAGACUGUCUGAACAGCAACAACAAACACACCAAAAAAACUAGUUUACUUCGGAAAAGGGACUGUCUAGGUCUUUGAAGGGCUGAUACAGGAUCUGAGCUGACACUGUUUCCAGGAGCCCUGAAGCAUCAUGGCCCUCUCAUUAGGGUGCAGGCUUAUGGAAAUCAGAUGAUAAGCAGAAUUCCCAACCCGAGUCCUGUGGUUACUUCUCUGGUCUCAAUGCAUACUUGGGAUGUUUUUACCUAGCAGAGGGCGGAGCGUAUACAUUGAUCCCAGGCCUUUGGUACCAUAUGUAAGGAAGCGCAAAGUAGAAACCUUUGAAACUCCUCACCCUACUGAAACCUUUCCAAGAUAGUAAGUCAGAAACAAUGCUGCAUUCCAGGUGUAAUUGCAGAGGUAUUUCGCCCUCAAAGACUUAUAAAGCAGUGGUUACCGUUUCAUCCCUUCAAUUAACCUGAAUGGCUCCUGCUAAAUCUUGGUGGAUUCAAGUAAAUGAUGAUGCCCUGCACAAACUUAGCCAAGUCGUGUCCCCGAUCACACAGCUGUGCUAGGUGUGGUAUCUUUACUGGAACCGAUAAAUGCACCUCUGGCUCUUGAUAAUGCAAUUAUUGACUUGGUGAACAUUCUUUUCAAUUGCCAGUGGUAAAGAGGAUUAAAAGCAGUUCACAUUUAUAUGGGAAGGACAGCUCUGUAAAUGGUCUUGCUUCUUGCUGUCUGAACUCUCCUGUUCUCUGUCACAAUAGUCCUUAGGUAGCUUAUCAUCUAUAUUCCAUAUAACAUUGAUGAUGUCAUACUAGUUGGACAUGGUGAAGAAGGCCGUGCAUGUCAGAGGAUGAGCGAGAAGCCCUCAGAAGUUCUGGAGCCUGCCAUAUCAGUGACAUUCUCAGGGGUGCAGCGUUUGAGGGCAAGCCAGGGACAAGUUAUUGCAUCCUGCAUCCUUACAAGGAAGAAAGAGGCACAGCAUUGAGGCACCUCUGUGUUUUGGAGUCAGCAUGCACCGCGCUAGAGGAUACCUCUCUGACCCCUUUAUUGGGUAACGGGAAAACUGCCAGCUUUGAGUGGGGCCCAGAGAAAAAGAGGGCUCUGCUAAAGAUUUGGAUUGGGAGAUGGGCUUCCCUGCUGCAUAGAUCCAAUGGGUUACCGGGGGGCUUAUUUGGGGUAGGAAGGACCCUAUAUGGCAUCUCUGGCAAACUCCAACGGAAGAGUUGCAGUACACUGUCCUAGAGUUCUUGGACAAGACCAUGCCUUCUGCAGCAGAGAACUACUCGCCAAGUGAGAGCAGUAUCAGGCACACUACCAGACCCAGAGGAGUUGGUGAACAGCAGGAUGGAUGGGAUGUCAGUCAGCUGUGCCCCUGGCUACCCCUGUGCUUGAACAGUGGACUGUGAGUGGCGGCGUCAUGCAGAAGGAGCACAGGGUCCCAGGCCAGCAUCACUAUCCAGGAGCUUCAGGCAUGCUCCGUGUACCAACAUGGGAUCACGAAUCACAUCGCCUCAGGCCAAGAAAGCCAUUUUAUAGCGAAAGAGCCUUAGGAUCUGCUGGAUUAGAGCCUGUUUCCCAGGUAGGAACGCUUCCACGAGGGCACUCCUGCUGGUUGCAGGAAGGAUACCUCUGCUGAGCCUGAAUCUGCAAAGACCACCAGGUUACUCUCAGCUCCUCAUACUGGUGGACCAGCAGGCCACAAAGGAGGGGAUACUUGAUCCUGAUAAACGGUGUUAUGCUUGUUUGCUGAUGGAAAUGAUCCAGAAGAGAAGGACAAGUUGACGAUUGAGAGGGUUAAUGUCAGGUAAGAAACUUGAGUGGACAUUGAGGAAAGAGCGAGGUUCAGUGGACUGGAGGUUUGUGGUGGUUUCAUGACACGUGGACUGGAGAUUUGCAGUGGUUUUAUGACACAUGGACUGGAGGUUUGUGGUGGUUUCAUGACACAUGGACUGCAGAUUUGCAGUGGUUUUAUGACACAGCUCCUAAGUUCUUUGACACUCUUCCCAUGGAGGGGUAGGGUCUGUGACCCCCCUCUUGAAGCUGGGUAGGCUUGCAACUGCUUUGGCCAAUAGUCACAGCAGCAGUGAUGCUGUAGGACUUACAAGGUUAGACCAGAAAAGGGCAUGCCCUCCAAGGAUCCUUACUCUGAUGGGAACCAGCCAUCAUGUAGAAACUCUACCCUUGGCUGGGUGCGGUGGCUCACGCCUGUAGUCCUAGCAUUUUGGGAGGCCGAGGUGGGCGGAUCACCUGAGGUCAGGAGUUCCAGACCAGCCUGGCGAGAAGGAGUCUGGAAGGACGCUGACAACGGGUGGUGGUCAGGAA